AGAGCAGGACAAAUGACCGCUGCUUUGUCGGAGGACAAAGGGGAGGAAAGUCCGGGCUCCACAGGACAGGGUGCUGGGUAACACCCAGUCCCGGCGACGGGAAGGAAAGUGCCACAGAAAAGAAACCGCCUGGUGAAACGGCCGCGGCUGUGGAACCAGGUAAGGGUGAAAAGGUGAGGUAAGAGCUCACCAGUCCUGCCGGUGACGGCAGGAGCUUGGUAAACCCCACCCGGAGCAAGACCAAAUAGGGGAACGCAGGAGGGUGGUCCGCCCGAGUUCCCGGGUAGGUCGCUCGAUCCCGCCGGUAACGGUGGGACUAGAUGAAUGGUCAUUGUCCCCGGAUUUGCCGCAGGCGAAACCCGGGGAAACAGAACCCGGCUUAUGGCCUGCUCUAACC
RNAcentral lists this RNase P RNA (397 nucleotides) under Deltaproteobacteria bacterium. RNAcentral's name for it is "RNase P RNA component class A". It matches the Rfam family "Bacterial RNase P class A". From Rfam's summary of the family: Ribonuclease P (RNase P) is a ubiquitous endoribonuclease, found in archaea, bacteria and eukarya as well as chloroplasts and mitochondria. Its best characterised activity is the generation of mature 5'-ends of tRNAs by cleaving the 5'-leader elements of precursor-tRNAs. Cellular RNase Ps are ribonucleoproteins. The record is from RNAcentral. Lineage: Bacteria; Pseudomonadati; Myxococcota; Myxococcia.